UCGAAAAGCUAUGGUGAUAAAGUAGUAGUAAUCUGAUAGAAAAAUCCUUUAAAAUGGGGGCCUAAAUUGCAAAAAGUAAGCUGUGUGAUUGCUGAAAUAGUACCCAUUCGAUGAGUGGAAAAUGGGUAUACAUGUUGAUGAAGGUGCGAUGGGCAGCAGUGAUAUUAGGAUUGUUGAAUAUGGUAGUGAUCAUAUUGGGAAUCAUAUUGAUAUUCAAGAUGGUGGAGGGAGAGAGAUGCAGCAAAAGAGAUGUAUUGGCAAUUGCUGGAAUAUGGUUGCUUUGUUUUCUCAGAAUUAUUGCGAUGCUUCGUACUGCUAUUGCCCAACGUGCUACUGCUCUUCUUGUUGUUUCCCAGACGGAGACUCCCAUUGCUGAUGCCCUCAUUCGCCACCAAAAACGGAUGCGAUACAAGAGAUGGCUGUGGUGGACUCGUGCUGCUAUGUUUAUUACUGUCUUGCAAUUCAUCGCUGCUAUUUACCUCUUCUUUCGCCUUUGGCAGCAUUUUUCCCAACCCCCAACCGCGAACACUUGUACCAGCUCCCAUAAACGUCUGCUCGUCGUCUUUAUGAUUGUGGUGUGUUUAAUUGUAGUGCUGCAGUGUCUUGCCGGAUCCGAUGUUCUUCGAUGGAGAUCUUUUUACACUACUCAAGAUCAUGCAUGGAAGACUCAUUACCAGGAGGUCUUUGAUUAUGGCCUUCGCGAGGCUUUGUGCUGUAUGGGACGUGCCAAAUACUUAACCGUGCUGGAGGAAGAUGAAGUGUAUUCAGUUGCGCAGUUACUGGGUGAUCUUGUAGCUUAUCGUGCCUCUGGAACUGGCCAUUUAGAACUUUUGGCAGGCCUGGCGUUGUUACAAAGGAAUGAUCACAUCACUGAAAUUCAUCAAGAUAUGGUUGAGGCACCGGAAGAGCGUAUUCACGAAGCUGUUGUUUACCAUCCUUUUGCUGAAGCUGCAUACACGGGUCUGUUACUUGAUUUUGGUAGAAACCCUGUAUUAUUUCCAUGUGCAUGGGCAUGGCUUUAUAGACAAGGAAUAUUGACUCCUUGGACCCGCAACAGGCGACCAGUACUUGAAGGUGAUAAUUGGUGGCGGGGUCAUGCUGCAGCUUUCUUGAAAGAUCUUAACUUAACACCAGAUGUGCUUCGGAAAGGACGUGUCAAUCAAAUGGUAAAGUGUAAAGCAGCUUACUUUGUUGUCGUACUUCAUCAUCUAAAAUGUGUUGUGAUUGCUGUUCGCGGGACUGAAAGCCCAGAAGACCUUAUAACUGAUGCAUUAUGUAGGGAAUGCAAUCUUACUACAGAAGAAUUAGAUGGUUUGAGCAAGCAUCACCAGGAUUUAGGUCCAUCUUUGUCACACUAUGGACACUCCGGGGUAGUUGAAGCUGCACGAGAUAUCUUCAUGCAAAUUGAAGGUAGUGCAGCAGGUUCGGGUGGAUUUCUUUCUUCGUUGCUGGGAGCUGGUUGUGAGUGUGAAGGUUAUGAGAUUCGUAUAGUAGGACAUUCCCUUGGAGGAGCAAUAGGUGCAUUGCUUGGGUUGAGGCUAUAUGAUCGAUUUCCUAGAUUACAUGUUUAUGCUUAUGGACCCCUUCCUUGCAUGGAUGCAGUAAUAGCAGAUGCAUGCUCAGGAUUUAUAACAAGCAUUGUAUACCAACAUGAAUUUUCAGCACGCCUUUCAGUAACAUCUAUACUUAGGCUUCGUGCAUCUGCACUUGUAGCAUUAUCAAGCAACUCAAACACUGAUUGUACUGCAAUUUAUAGACUUGCACGCCGAUUUCUUGGCGAGAACAAUCAACUUCGAGGGGACAACAGAUUUUCAGCUUCAGAUUUGACUGCAGUGGUAAUGAAAGCCGAGGAGAAUAGGGGCAUUCAUCACUCCGGUGGUAACAAUGGAGCAUGGAACGGGCAAAAGAUAUAUCUCAUGGGAAAAAUACUAAGAUGGAAAAUAGUUCUUGUGAUGAAAUUGAUUGCAGUUCCUCUCAUAGUUUUAUGAAGCCAUAUUACCAAUCCUCUGCCGAUAUAGUUGAGGACCCAGUCUCUCAGUUUAUAGAAGAUGUGCCAUCAGCACCUGAAGAUAUUCCUGAUUUGUUUUUACCAGGAUUAGUCAUUUAUAUAGUACCAGAGAGGAACAACUUAGAAACUACCCUUUGGAAGCUUUGGACAGCUCAAGACAAUGAAUGCAGCUAUAGAGCUUAUAUAGCAAAUAAAGAUUCAUUUAAGGAUAUUAUUGUCUCACCAACUAUGUUUCUGGAUCAUUUACCUUGGAGAUGUCACUAUGCGUUGAAAAAGGUACUUGACACGCGGCGCUCCCAACUUAUACCAGAUGGAUCUCAAGUGGUAUAAUUUUCCUUUUAGAUUAUCGUAAAUGGGUUCAAAUAGUUCUCUUUAUUGUGUAAAAUUCUGCCUUUGACAUUGGUGAAAACAGUUAAGAUGGUGCUACUAAUUGUUUUCUCUGAGUACAUAGUUUGUUAAUGAUGUCCUUGCAAGGAGAGAUUACUGAGCAUGGUUUAGAGAUGAAUUAUCCCAUACAGGUUGUAAUUGAGCAUCAAGGGAACCAUAAUUUGUGAAACAGCUAUACAGGACAUCUCUGCGUGUAUCUCUUUUAACGUGGAAUCCAUCUUUCGACGUGGUUGUACUUGGCGGGGGUGUUUUUUUUCCCGGUUA
RNA transcript from Daucus carota subsp. sativus, 2659 nucleotides. RefSeq lists it as uncharacterized. The transcript is spliced from 13 exons. Lineage: Eukaryota; Viridiplantae; Streptophyta; Magnoliopsida; Apiales; Apiaceae. The record is from RefSeq and is a predicted model, not a curated record.